RNAcentral lists this long non-coding RNA (294 nucleotides) under Vicia faba (fava bean). The record is from RNAcentral. Lineage: Eukaryota; Viridiplantae; Streptophyta; Magnoliopsida; Fabales; Fabaceae.
UGCGGUAUAAGUUCUCAAGAUACAAGUCACAUAAUUACUACCGGCUACAAGGAAUAAAUGUUACGAAUUUACAAAGGGAAUCAAAAUUCUAUUACAAGAGAACAAGUCGGAACUAUUCCCAUCCAUGGUCAUUCAAAUUAUUCAAAUUACUCAAGUUCAACCAUUCAAGCGUCUUUCAUUCAUGAUUCAUUGUGUUACAGUACAUGCCAUUUCAAGAUUACAAAAAAGUUACAAAGGUCCAAAGAAACUUUUACAAAAAAAAUGCAUUUAAUCAGUUACAAGAAUGUAUCCUAA